Molecule: long non-coding RNA, 496 nt
Organism: Fukomys damarensis (Damara mole-rat)
Lineage: Eukaryota; Metazoa; Chordata; Mammalia; Rodentia; Bathyergidae
Exons: 3
Source: RefSeq, a predicted model, not a curated record
GUGCCCACACAGUGGGGAUGAAAUCAGAGACACUGAAAACCCACAGGUAAUGCCAGGACUUAGAGACAGAAAGCUCUGAACAUCAGUACAAAGCCCUGCCGUGUAAGUGCGUAGCUUCUCACCAAGGGUGACCAGCCUCAGAUACAGGCUUUCAGUUCACUGAAGAAGUAAAGCAAGAAGCAAUCAGUACAUAGGACAAGCAGGCUGACUUUAUGAAAGUUUGCUGUAACUGGAGUUGGAAUACAGAGCACAGGAUUGUGAAGAAGAAUAUAUUGUUGUGCUAAAGCUGAUCUAGUAGAGUCGUGAGGACAUAUGGGAAGGAGGAUACAGAGGGAAGCCUUGAAGAGAAUGCCUACUUUGAGUAACACAUGCAAUCCUCAGAGCUAAGCUUGAAACUUAACUAUUUAACAAGUUUUAAAUGUGUGACCCGGGCAUGGCAGCACACAUCUGUAAUCCCAGCACUCUGAGGUUGAGACAGAAGGACCACUGAGUUCAA